UUUACUGGGCUAGUUGAGCUCACCCUUUUCCUUUUUGUUCCAUUUUUCUUCUCAGGAGACGAGAAUGUAGCGAGUACUAGUCGGGGUAUGGAAUGAAGGUUCUAGAGAGAGUUGUUUAAUAGUCCUCACCAUUUUUGUAAAAUAAUGUAUCAAUAAUUAUGAUGGGGAUUUAUUUGGGUAUGUAUAUUGUCUAGAAGACAAUAAUUGUAUUUAAAC
This 216-nucleotide long non-coding RNA is filed under the name Panax ginseng (ginseng). RNAcentral describes it as "long non-coding RNA (PGIN_LNC018182)". The record is from RNAcentral. Lineage: Eukaryota; Viridiplantae; Streptophyta; Magnoliopsida; Apiales; Araliaceae.